RNAcentral lists this long non-coding RNA (5177 nucleotides) under Gallus gallus (chicken). RNAcentral's name for it is "lncRNA (ENSGALG00010000909.1)". The record is from RNAcentral. Lineage: Eukaryota; Metazoa; Chordata; Aves; Galliformes; Phasianidae.
CUGGCAACCAACCACUGCCCUAGCAACCAAAAAGGCACUAUGAAGAGGAUGAAAACUCCAAGAGGUCCGGAGUAGAAUGGAUACUACCUCCACUGAACUGUAGCUUUGCAGGUCAAGGACCAACCUGCAGCCCUCUAUGGACCAAUGAGACAUCACUGAAUCCGCAGUGGUCCCUUUGGCAGCAUUAUGUUCUCAAACUAAAGAAAGGAAUCAUCUUGACAUAGACCUCAGCUUCCCUGCUCUAUGCAGCCAGUACAGCUGGACAGACACUGGAGGCACAUAAUCCAACAAGAAGCACACAAAGGCUCUGAACACAGAAGAGAAAGGCCUACCAUGCUACUCUGGCUGACACAGUCUGAGAAAGCGUUCAGAUGCAACAAGGACAGGUUUAUUAUUUGGCUGGAAUUAUUGAAAAGUAAUUGUAAAAUAGAUUCUAGAGAAAGUAUUAAAAAAGUAUUAAAGUAUUAAAAUAUUUUGUUACUUAACACUGAGGACAAAAUAAAAGCAAUUGAUAGAUCUGGGAGCUUAGCAUGAGUAAAUAAUGAAAACUUAAGGCUUAUCCAAUUGCUCUCAUGAACUGCUAGUGAAGGGGUAGAAUAUGAGCUGCAGGAAAACGUCUUCAUCUAAAGGUGAACAAAGGCACUAUCAGUAAAGGCAGGAUCGGUUUAGCUCCAGCAGGACCCACCAAAAUAUGGCCGUCUGGCUCCACCACAGAGCCUACAGCCCAUGGUUAAUAAACGCAUAGCUAUAUAUUUCAUUUACUCCAUCUUCAUGGUUAAAAAAAAUUUUGCAAAAUCUGUAUGGGAUUCCAAAUGAAUACAAUUGAGGGAACUUGCAUAAAUGUCUAGCCACAUAUGUAUAAAUACAGUCUCCUUUUAUUAAUGUCUUUCACUACUUCUUAGGCUGUUUAAAUGAAGCAUUUAAUAAACUAAAUUAAAACAUUCCCAUCCCUGCGCUUCUCAGAUAACAUUGCAUAUAAUCAGAAGAAUAACCCAUAGAAGAACUUAUCACCUACUCCUUGAAAUGCCUUUGUUAAGAAAAAGAAAUUUAAUCCCUUCCUAAUUAUCAUUUUAUUUGGGUCAUUUGAAUUUAGGGAACUUGCUCUUCCUUUGUCCUUGUUCUAGUUUCCUCUGAGAUAAUUUUCUUCAUAGUGAUUGGUAUGAUGCUAUGUUUUCGAUUUAGGAUGAGAAUAAUGUUGAUAACACACCAAUAUUUUAGUUGUUGCUGAGUGGUGCUGCACAAAGUCAAGGACAUUUCUGCUUCUCACAGUGCCAUGCCAGCAAGGAGAUUGGAGAAGCUGAUCUAAUCUGGCCAAAGUGAUUUCUCAUACCACGUGGCAUUGUGCUGGAAAAUAAAAUUGAGGGGAGUUGGUCAGGGGAUUGCUCUGGCUGGGCAUCAGUUGGCAGUGAUGAGCAAUUGCAUUUUGCAUCAUUUAAAAAAAAUAUUUUUCUAUCAUUACUAUCUUAUCUGUCCUUUCAAACCGUCUUCAUCUCAACCUAUGUGUUUUACCCUUUUCUAAUUCUCUUUACCCAACACACUGUAAAGAAGUAAGCAAACAGCUGUGUAGUGCUUGACUCCCUGACUUGUUAAACCACAAAUUCUGUAUAUGAUGCUUCUUUGCACUAACACUUCAUAGAGAAAUACAAUGCCACAUCCCUGAAAGAGAAGUUCAAAUAUAGAAUAACUAUAGCUAUUACUAAGUUUGCAAUAUAUUAUUAUUUAGUCCCUGUAUUUGGUGCAAUUAGUGGGAUUAUCAUUGAUUUCAAAGUUCUUACACAUCUUGUUUCAGGAAAACAUCACAAGCAUGCAGAUUAGCUACGUGCUUCUACUUUUUCUGUCUUUUACAUCACUCUCAUUAUUCAUAUCCCAUUGACAUCACUAAAGACUUCACUGGGAGUAUGGCAGCAGUAGAAUUAGCAGUUGCAAGUAUUAUCCAUUUUCCAGGAAUUGAAGCAACAAUACAUGCAGAAAAGUGUGACUAAGCCAUACACAACCUCUGGAAGAUAAUGUUGCAUUGCAGUUUGCAAUCCCAAGCUUUUAAGUCUUUGAUGCUAGCAUUUCAUGGUUCAAAAUAGAAGAGCUUAUUCACCUCAAAAAACACCUCGUAUUUACAGGUAUGAAAAAGUAAGUCAUCACUAUGAAAUAAAACAGUUCAUAACACUUACUUAGAACAAAAAUAUUUAAUUCAAUUUGACAUGCUAUGAGUUACAAUGGGUUAAGAGAACUAAGGGUUUUCAGGCCUGCAAAAAGGAUAUAGCAAAGGCAGAUGCUGAAGUCUAGGAAAAAUAGACUAAAAAAUAAACAGAUGAGAUCUAAAUAUUAUGCACAGUAUUUAAAAACAAACAGGAAAAAACCCCAACUCUAAUAGAAUAAUCAACAGCUUUGUGAAGUGAAAUAUUCUGUUCAUAAAUCAUGACAGCUCCCCCUGAACUAAGCUGAUUUACAACACAGAACUAAAAACAACAAGCAAAAAAAAAAAAAAAUCUGGAAAACAAAACACUCAUACAUUACAAAAUAAACCGCAGGAUUAGUAGAAACACAAGAGACUUCUGACGGUCUUUUAAAUAGCUCCAAGGAGAGCUUCAGUCUUCUGAAAUUGAAUUCAUAAGAGUGAAAAUGAAAACAGUCAACCCUGAAACUUUAGCAAAUCGGUUUUUUUUGUUGUUGUUUUUUUUUGUUUUUUUAAAAGACAGCUUCUAAAUUCAGUAGAAAUUUUUUCCAGUUUCAGUUUAUGACAGGAAGAUUGCUUUUUAAGUAAAAAAUGAAUCAACACUAACUAUGCUUUGGAGACCAUUUAAAUCAGUAACUGGGCUGAAAAUUUCAUAUAUAGCCUUAUCCAAAAGCAAUUUAAUAAGUCAGAAAAUAAUUCCACUCUAAGUAUAUUGGUUAUACUGAAUUCUACUUUUAGUUAUUUUGCAAAGGCAUCUCAUACUUGUUAUGUCUUAACAAACAAGAAUAAAAAUGAGAGAUCCUUAUUUUUAAUAGAAAUCUGAUAAGACACUGAGAGAAAGAGAGAUAAACUUACUGAAAAGAUUUUAAUACCUUCCCAAUAGGAAAAAAAAUCAUAAUUGACUUUUCAGAAGACUAAAAUUUGAGGACAACUUUACGAUUUACCCAAAGUGUGCUUCUACAGUAAUUAAGAUUUCCAUCUAAAAGCCAUGGUCCUUGUUUGACUAUCUGAGAGGCACUAAAUCUUCAACUACAUGGAAAAUAACUACAUCUAGUUCAAACAAUAUUACAGGAAUUUCAAACAGUAAGCUUCUAUCUUCUUCUCCAUAAAAGAGGGCUACUUAACAGAGCAGGUAAAUGCAAAUAACAUAUUUUUUUAAUGCAUGAGAAAGGUAUUCUCAAUUUACAUUUAAAUUAUCAAAUAGCUUUUAAGUUGAUUUGUCUUCCAAAUCCCAGUUCCAUUAUCAGAAUUACUGCAUGCAUGUUAGUUCACUUUUUGACUCUGUCUGAGGGAACUAAUUUUGAGAGGUUUUUUUUGGUGGUGGUAUUUUUGUUUGUUUGUUUGUUUGUUUUGUUUUGUUUUGUUUUUCCCCUAAAGCAGAAUUUAGGUGAAGUAUAGAGCAUAAUUCACAUUUGUGAGACUCAGCCACUAGCAGAAUUCCACUAAAAUAUGGUUCCUAAAUCUACAUAUCUCUACACAUUUGUUCAGUGGAUUUUGCACUUCCAAAUUCUCAAUAGAAGACCUUCAGCAGGACAUGUGAUUUAUAGGAAGCUGUAAAAAAAAAAAAAAAAAAAAAAAAAAAAAAAAGGAAGCAAAAGUAGAGCAUCUGACUUAAUGUUCUAUGAACUAAGAACCACUUGCAAAAAUAUUUCGUAACUACAGAAAUGCCACGUGGAUCUAGAUAAAGUAGAUAUGCCCAGUUGUUAUGGAGGGUGUCUUUGAUAGGAAGGGAUCCAGGAUCAAGUCAGUGCCCAGCACUAGAUCAAGGCUAGGUCUCACUCUGCAGAAAGGUGGCUUCAGCAGUGCCUCUGGGAAAAAAAAAAAAAAAAAAAAAAAAAAAAAAAAAAAAAAAAAAAAACAGAAGAAUUUUCCAAGAAAGAGAACAGAGCAACGGAUUAUCUGUCAAACAGCUCCACAGCCAAAGAUCACUGAAGCAUUGGGUCCUGGCUGAGAGAUAGCACCACAGGUCUCCAAGGGCCACAAACAUUGAAAGAUUGAGGACCUCUGCUGCUCGAUAAUUUUGUCCAGAAGCCCACUGGGGAUUUCCCAUACCACUGGGAUAGUAAACAAUACAGACAGAAGGGAUUUUCCAAUAAAAGUUUCAAAGAAAAAGCAACAACAACAACCACUAGGAAUCCUAAAACCACAGACACAGAAAAUGUGAUGCAGCAUAACACAACUAACAGAAGCAUUGUUCUUCAUCAGUAAAGAAAUCAAAAACAAAACCAAGCAAGACUGUUUUCCCUAAAAAUCUUUCAUUGCAAAUUAAAUACAGUAGUUUAUACGGAACCCAGAAGAGACUGACAUACCUGAUCCAUCAUCAUUUGUAAUUAUUUCCAAUCAUGAAACACUUUUGAGAUACCAAUCUAGAAAUUGAAUCAGAAGGACAUUUACUUUUUAAUAUUAAAAUUUUAUAUGCUAUUCUUAAUAAGCAGACUAGUAGAUAUAAUACAAGAUAAAAUAUCCUAAUUGUUAUUUCACACAUCAUUUCAUACUUACAUACAUCACAUAAAACAAAAAAAAGAUCUGAAAUAUGAUCAGCUAGUGUAGGAGGAAUAAGUCAAGUUGUUUAUCAAGUAGGGAAGUAUGAAAACAAGUAGACUUACACCGCUGAUGUGAAAUAAAGAAUUAGAAAGCAUUACUUUCAAUCUCAACAUGACUAACAGCAACAUUAUUUUAUAUUCUUAAUGACCUCAUAAACAUGCCGCUCUAAUGUCGAACUUGAAACGAUUAUGUUUGUUAUUAUAAAUAUACAGGUAAAUUUUAAUUUUCUAAUAUUUUUAAACCAGAGAUAAAUUCAUUAAAAAAAUGCAUUUUCUGGAAGAAGGAUUUGGCACGGUAUGAAACCAUAUUUCCCCUGGGCUCACAACAUCAAAAAAUACAAUAUUUUUCUGUGUGGUUUCAAAAAUGAGUUCUGUUCAGCUUGAGGGUAGCUUCUACUUUACACUGAAGAAGAGAAAGAUUUACUCACACUCUCCACUGCAAAACUGAAGUAGAUUAUCCCUCA